CCUUGUACACACCGCCCGUCACACCAUGGGAGUUGGUUCGACCUGAAGCCGGUGCGCGAACCCGCAAGGGACGUAGCCGACCACGGUCGGGUCAGCGACUGGGGUG
This 106-nucleotide ribosomal RNA is filed under the name uncultured bacterium. RNAcentral's name for it is "partial 16S ribosomal RNA". It matches the Rfam family "Bacterial small subunit ribosomal RNA", at positions 1379 to 1482 of the family's 1533-position model. The record is from RNAcentral.